Molecule: long non-coding RNA, 1323 nt
Organism: Bos taurus (domestic cattle)
Lineage: Eukaryota; Metazoa; Chordata; Mammalia; Artiodactyla; Bovidae
Source: Ensembl
AGUUUCCUCACACUCGUGGGUCAGUUAUGCUGCAUACUUGAGGGAGACCUUCUGCAGAGCUCCAGAUCCGGGAGGCCUGGCAUGCUGCAGUCCAUGGGGUCGCAAAGAGCUGGACAUGACUGGGGGACUGAACAACACCAUCACCGUGGCGUAUCAUGGAAAACGAGGCACAGCCACGCGGGGCAGAAGUGCCCUGGGAUCUUACCACCCGGCCCUGCUACCAUCGACCUCAGAUCAGAACUAUGGCCUCAGUUUCCUCACCUGUAAAGGGAGGGGACAUGAUGCAAUUCCUUCUCACCUUUUCCUCCAGGAGAAGAGGACACAGACACCUGCCCACGAACUAGCCCAGCCCCACAGGGGAUGCUGUGUGGUUUUCAACAAGAGAGGCAGGCGGUGGGGAUGUGCCAGGGGCCCAUGUCCACUUCUGCUGUGGCUUUCAGCUCCUGAUGUUCACUAGGAGUCCUUUAAUACCCUUUCUGUGAGCAGCAGGCACAUGGCUGGGAAUGUGGCGGCCCUAAACUAACAGCUGAGAGCUCUACAUAGCUCUUUAGGUCACUUUAGCACAUUAUACCCCUGAGAUUCAAACUUUCUCCAAGGUCAUGUUAAGAUUCAAGUUUGGCGAAAUGGAGUGCUGAGUCCAAAAACGAAAACAAUCUAAAAGACCAGGGCUGUUUCCUUUACCCCGGUUUACUGAGCGACACCUUUUCUUGCUGUGGUUUCUAUAAUGGUAUUUUAUUUUACAAUAUAAAGGUAAAGAAAAAUACUCUCUGCUAACAGAGUAAAACCACAUUAAUUACACAUAGGUUUUAUCUUUGUUGCAUAGAUUCUCCAGCCAAACCACUGCUUGGAUUCCCCCUUUGUCUGACCCAGGUAGACAGGCGAGAGGAUCAGAGCUGGGAUUUUUCUGGUUGGGGGCACCUUGCAGGGGUCAGCCGAUUCUUUUAAAGUGCCCUUAACAGGAGCCUAUGUUAAUGAAAGCAGUUUUCUCAUGACAGAUCAGAACCUGGCCUUUAUAGCAUUAAAAAAAAUUUUUUUUUACAUCGAGAAGAAACGGUGAACAAUGAUUGAAUCAAAGCCGCCCUCAGCAGCCUCCCCCAACUCCACCCCAUCUGAGAACAGCCCUGUUUCAAUUUCACCACUGAGUUCAGCCUGCCUGCUCCAGACGUCCAGACCUCGCACUCUAUAAAUCGUCUCUGCCCUUGCCCUGGAGUUGCUGACUAUAUGUAUUUUUGGGCCCAGCAUUAAUUCCCUCAUCCUUGGCUGGUGACAUUAAGAUUUGUAACUGAUAGAAUGUGUUUUUAAUGUAUUUCCUGCAGGUUACUA